UAUCAAGGCCAAUCCUCAAAUCCAGAUCUUGUCAUUUCAGAAGCUAAGCAGGGCUGGACCUGGUUAGUACUUGGAUCAGAGACCACUGGGAACACCAAGUGGCUACAAUAG
RNAcentral lists this ribosomal RNA (111 nucleotides) under Periophthalmus magnuspinnatus. Lineage: Eukaryota; Metazoa; Chordata; Actinopteri; Gobiiformes; Gobiidae. The record is from RNAcentral.